CUGGGGAACACCCACCUCCCCUCACCUCAGUCCCUGUGCUCUGGGGGGGUGCAGACCCUACCCUCAGCUCCUUCAGGGGGCGGGCAUUCGAUCCAGGAUGGCCAAUCAGAGCAUCGCAUUCUCUUAAGCCACAGGGAUUGGUUCCCAAGGGGCAUGUUGCCCAGAUAAGACCAAUCAGAAACAGAGACUCAAUUCGGGGACUUUUCUUUAACCGUUGAAAACGUGACCUUUUUAUUCCCUUCUGCCAGAACUGCUGAGAGCCGUCUUGCCACCACAAUCGAGAAAGAAACAGUAGGUGAUGCUGAGGGUUGCAGAAAAACUGUGUAAGCCUUAGCAACACCCUUGAAACCUCCAUGCGUUAAUUUCCAUCCCUAGACUUUUCAAGGACAUAAAUCCCCUUUCUGGGGAAGCCGGUUCAAGUCAGGGUCCUGCUUUGAGGUCAAAAGAGUCCUGACUGAUGAAAUCCGAAGGGCUGUGACAUAGGCUGCACGCUGGCUAUGCACAGAGGAAGCGAGAUGAUCCAUGCCACCUUUCCUGGCACUCAGUGCGAUGUGGAGACAGCUACAAACAGCUACAAUUAUUUAAAGCCGCAAAGUGGUCAAGAGCACACGCUUGGAAGCAGAUGGCCACGGUCACAUCCAGCUGUUACUUACCAACUUGGUAACCUUGAACGUGUUGCUCAAACUCCAGGCCUCAGUGUCGUCUCCUGUAAAACAGAGUGACAGCAAGAGUUAAGCACGCGACAAGAGACCUGAGCACAAGGUUUCUUCACGGCUGAGGAAAGAAAACAAACUUAUAUAGAACACCAACCCCAUCACCCUCAGCAUCUCUUAUAGCAGCAAAAACUUAUGAAUCAAAGGGAGUUUUCAUAAAACCAAAGUCAAACAAUAUCCCAUGGAACACAGUCGCCAGCGUUUAGCGUGCGGGUCAGAGCACGGUCUGCCGCGUCUAGACAUUCUCAUUAUUGCACGGAAGAGAUACAAACUGCCUUUCUCUGGCCUUUAUUUUGAUUAAAUCUUUAGCUGCCUUA
This is a long non-coding RNA of Panthera uncia (snow leopard), 1030 nucleotides long. RefSeq lists it as uncharacterized. The transcript is spliced from 3 exons. The record is from RefSeq and is a predicted model, not a curated record. Lineage: Eukaryota; Metazoa; Chordata; Mammalia; Carnivora; Felidae.